AUAUAUAAGUAUGUCAUUUUAUAUAAUUUGCCCCAUAUUAUAAAUGAGGAAUAAAUUAGCGAUGAUUAAAAUAAGCUUGUAGAUUUCUUUGACUCCAGUCUUUCGUUGUGAACGGACGUGUGACAAUUUAAAAAUGAAGUAUUUUAACUUGACGGUUUUCCUUUUAGUGGUCUUUUGUACUUUUAAUAUGGAAGUGAAAGCUUCUCUGGUGCCCAGAUCGCGUUUGCAAUGCAGUUAUUCAAAAUCCAAGCUGAUUCAAAAACUUCUGGCUGAACAAUCUAAAAUUGAUGGUUACAGCAACCAACACGACGAAGAACUGAGGUUGAUACAAACGCUCUGUACCAACCAAAAGUGAGAAGAAUAAAUACCAUGGAGAAUAAAAUGACGAGCGGAGAUGUCAUAAUGGAAACGGAAAAUCUCUCAAGAAAGUAGCGAUAAAAUGCGGGUGUUCGGGGGACGAGGAACGUAACCAGCUCCACCUAUUUUUUUCUUUUUUAGUUAGCAGCGGUGAGGGAGUGUCCGACUCUUACUGACUAAAACCGUCGUGUUCCAUCGUAGGCCAUUUAAGUACUAGGGCCGCGGUAACUCUUUCGAACAAUCCCGCAGCCCCGGCAGGCUUUGGCCCUGCUGACCAGCUCCGCCCUUAUACGCCUUCUUUGGAACCCACCAUUUUUUUCAAACCAAAUCACCAAUCAAUCAAGACCAAUCUUUGACAGAUGUGUCAAGGAACCUCGCGUUAGUUCACCCGUAACGGAGCGUUUUGGUCAUACCCAACAGUCGUAGUUGACCUAUGAAUUAUGAUAUCUCUGCUCAUCUUUCCUUAUUCCGUCGUAAAUACCUACUUAUAAGGAAAUAAAAUUAAAUAAUAAAAAACUAA
This is a long non-coding RNA of Helicoverpa zea (corn earworm), 877 nucleotides long. RefSeq lists it as uncharacterized. The record is from RefSeq and is a predicted model, not a curated record. Lineage: Eukaryota; Metazoa; Arthropoda; Insecta; Lepidoptera; Noctuidae. The transcript has 2 exons.